UACGUAGGGGGCAAGCGUUGUCCGGAUUUAUUGGGCGUAAAGAGCGUGUAGGCGGUUUGGUAGGUCCGCUGUGAAAACUCGAGCUCAACCUCGAGACGCCGGUGGAAACCAUCAGACUAGAGUCCGGAAGAGGAGAGUGGAAUUCCUGGUGUAGCGGUGAAAUGCGCAGAUAUCAGGGAGAACACCCGUGGCUAAGGCGGCUCUCUAGUACGGUACUGACGCUGAGACGCGAAAGCGUGGGGAGCGAACAGG
This 252-nucleotide ribosomal RNA is filed under the name uncultured bacterium. Its description in RNAcentral is "partial 16S ribosomal RNA". It matches the Rfam family "Bacterial small subunit ribosomal RNA", at positions 524 to 776 of the family's 1533-position model. The record is from RNAcentral.